Thalassophryne amazonica is the source of this 89-nucleotide long non-coding RNA. RefSeq lists it as uncharacterized. The record is from RefSeq and is a predicted model, not a curated record. Lineage: Eukaryota; Metazoa; Chordata; Actinopteri; Batrachoidiformes; Batrachoididae. The transcript has 3 exons.
GGACUUUGAAAUUUCAAAAAUAAGCAAGAUGGACAAAUAAAUGUGUAAUGAGCAACAUUCUAGAUGUUAUUUGAUGCAGAUCAACAGAU